RNAcentral lists this long non-coding RNA (306 nucleotides) under Vulpes vulpes (red fox). Its description in RNAcentral is "lncRNA (ENSVVUG00000009781.1)". The record is from RNAcentral. Lineage: Eukaryota; Metazoa; Chordata; Mammalia; Carnivora; Canidae.
AUGCUACUGGUCGUUUACAGCUUACCCACCAGCCUGUGCCCCCACCGUGGAAAGUCAACACUAGGACAGAAGGCUUUAUCCACCUGCGUGUGGUCUGAGAUGGAAAACGCAGUUCACCUCACGGAGUUUGGAACUGCUUGCUACAGGGGUUGCAGAAUUAUCCAAAGAAAAGAAAGCUGAUUUUUUUAAAUGAUAGCUAGAGACAUCUUUGAAGACAGUUGAAUCUGGGUUGGCAAGGCAAAAAGUCAAACAGCAGAUCAAAACAAGAGAAGAAAACUGACUAAAAUAAAAGUGAUGAUAUGUUCA